GACGAACGCUGGCGGCGUGCUUAACACAUGCAAGUCGAACGGAAAGGCCCUGCUUUUGUGGGGUGCUCGAGUGGCGAACGGGUGAGUAACACGUGAGUAACCUGCCCUUGACUUUGGGAUAACUUCAGGAAACUGGGGCUAAUACCGGAUAGGAGCUCCUGCUGCAUGGUGGGGGUUGGAAAGUUUCGGCGGUUGGGGAUGGACUCGCGGCUUAUCAGCUUGUUGGUGGGGUAGUGGCUUACCAAGGCUUUGACGGGUAGCCGGGCUGAGAGGGUGACCGGCCACAUUGGGACUGGACUACGGCCCAGCCUCCUACGGGAGGCAGCAGUGGGGAAUAUUGCACUAUGGGCGGAAGCCUGAUGCAGCAACGCCGCGUGCGGGAUGACGGCCUUCGGGUUGUAAACCGCUUUCGCCUGUGACGAAGCGUGAGUGACGGUAAUGGGUAAAGAAGCACCGGCUAACUACGUG
RNAcentral lists this ribosomal RNA (468 nucleotides) under uncultured bacterium. RNAcentral's name for it is "partial 16S ribosomal RNA". It matches the Rfam family "Bacterial small subunit ribosomal RNA", at positions 28 to 507 of the family's 1533-position model. The record is from RNAcentral.